AGUGAACGCUGGCGGUAGGCCUAACACAUGCAAGUCGAACGGCAGCACAGUAAGAGCUUGCUCUUACGGGUGGCGAGUGGCGGACGGGUGAGGAAUACAUCGGAAUCUACUUUUUCGUGGGGGAUAACGUAGGGAAACUUACGCUAAUACCGCAUACGACCUACGGUUGAAAGCAGGGGAUCUUCGGACCUUGCGCGAUUGAAUGAGCCGAUGUCGGAUUAGCUAGUUGGCGGGGUAAAGGCCCACCAAGGCGACGAUCCGUAGCUGGUCUGAGAGGAUGAGCAGCCACACUGGAACUGAGACACGGUCCAGACUCCUACGGGAGGCAGCAGUGGGGAAUAUUGGACAAGGGGCGCAAGCCUGAUCCAGCCAUACCGCGUGGGUGAAGAAGGCCUUCGGGUUGUAAAGCCCUUUUGUUGGGAAAGAAAAGCAGCAGGUUAAUACCCCGCUGUUCUGACGGUACCCAAAGAAUAAGCACCGGCUAACUUCGUG
Molecule: ribosomal RNA, 492 nt
Filed under: uncultured bacterium
Lineage: Bacteria
Description: partial 16S ribosomal RNA
Rfam family: Bacterial small subunit ribosomal RNA
Source: RNAcentral